RNAcentral lists this ribosomal RNA (441 nucleotides) under uncultured bacterium. RNAcentral describes it as "partial 16S ribosomal RNA". It matches the Rfam family "Bacterial small subunit ribosomal RNA", at positions 338 to 795 of the family's 1533-position model. The record is from RNAcentral.
CCUACGGGUGGCUGCAGUGAGGAAUAUUGCACAAUGGGCGCAAGCCUGAUGCAGCGACGCCGCGUGGGUGAAGAAGGUUUUCGGAUCGUAAAACCCUUUUCUGUGUGACGAGCAAGGACGGUAGCACAGGAAUAAGUCUCGGCUAACUACGUGCCAGCAGCCGCGGUAAAACGUAGGAGACAAACGUUAUCCGGAGUUACUGGGCGUAAAGGGCGUGUAGGUGGUUAUGUAAGUCUGGCGUGAAAUUUUUCGGCUUAACCGGGAAAGGUCGUCGGAUACUGCAGGACUCGAGGACGGUAGAGGCGUGUGGAAUUCCGGGUGUAGUGGUGAAAUGCGUAGAGAUCCGGAGGAACACCAGUGGCGAAGGCGACACGCUGGGCCGUACCUGACACUGAUGCGCGACAGCAUGGGGAGCAAACAGGAUUAGAUACCCUAGUAGUC